RNAcentral lists this ribosomal RNA (252 nucleotides) under uncultured bacterium. RNAcentral describes it as "partial 16S ribosomal RNA". It matches the Rfam family "Bacterial small subunit ribosomal RNA", at positions 524 to 776 of the family's 1533-position model. The record is from RNAcentral.
UACGUAGGUGGCAAGCGCUACUCGGAAUCACUAGGCGUAAAGCGCAGGUAGGCGGUUUGGUAAGUCUUUUGUGAAAGCUCCCGGCUCAACUGGGAGAGGUCAAGGGAAACUACCGGACUAGAGUGUGGUAGGGGAUACUGGAAUUCCUGGUGUAGCGGUGAAAUGCGUAGAUAUCAGGAGGAAUACCUAUGGCGAAAGCAGGUAUCUGGGCAAUCACUGACGCUGAGCUGCGAAAGCAAGGGAGCAAACAGG